CCUACGGGUGGCAGCAGUGAGGAAUAUUGGUCAAUGGACGCGAGCCUGAACCAGCCAUGCCGCGUGCAGGAUGACUGCUCUAUGGGUUGUAAACUUCUUUUAUACGAGGAUAAAUUGAGGUACGUGUGCCUGUUUGUAUGUAUCUUAUGAAUAAGGAUCGGCUAACUCCGUGCCAGCAGCCGCGGUAAUACGGAGGAUCCGAGCGUUAUCCGGAUUUAUUGGGUUUAAAGGGUGCGUAGGUGGGUUGUUAAGUUAGUUGUGAAAGACUGAGGCUCAACUGUAACAUUGCAAUUGAUACUGGCAGUCUUGAGUAUAGUUGAGGUAGGCGGAAUUCGUGGUGUAGCGGUGAAAUGCUUAGAUAUCACGAAGAACUCCGAUUGCGAAGGCAGCUUACCAAACUGCGACUGACAUUGAUGCACGAAAGUGUGGGGAUCAAACAGGAUUAGAUACCCUUGUAGUC
Molecule: ribosomal RNA, 460 nt
Filed under: uncultured bacterium
Lineage: Bacteria
Description: partial 16S ribosomal RNA
Rfam family: Bacterial small subunit ribosomal RNA
Source: RNAcentral